Molecule: ribosomal RNA, 442 nt
Filed under: uncultured bacterium
Lineage: Bacteria
Description: partial 16S ribosomal RNA
Rfam family: Bacterial small subunit ribosomal RNA
Source: RNAcentral
CCUACGGGAGGCAGCAGUGGGGAAUAUUGGGCAAUGGGCGCAAGCCUGACCCAGCAAUGCCGCGUGAAGGAAGAAGGCUUUCGGGUUGUAGACUUCUGUGACAGGGGAAGAGCAGAAGACGGUACCCUGAAAACAAGCCACGGCUAACUACGUGCCAGCAGCCGCGGUAAUACGUAGGUGGCAAGCGUUGUCCGGUUUUACUUGGUGUAAAGGGCGUGUAGCCGGGAAGGCAAGUCAGAUGUGAAAUCUGGAGGCUCAACCUCCAAAUUGCAUUUGAAACUGUUUUUCUUGAGUACUGGAGAGGCAGACGGAAUUCCUUGUGUAGCGGUGAAAUGCGUAGAUAUUAGGAAGAACACCAGUGGCGAAGGUGGCUUUCUGGACUGAAACUGACGCUGAGGCACGAAAGCGUGGGGAGCGAACAGGAUUAGAUACCCUAGUAGUC